GGCCGGCUGCUCGCUCCUGGGCCGCGCCCGGCGGGGGGUUUCCUGUGUGAGUCACCGGACUGGGAGCCGCGCAGGGAAACACCCUUCCUGCGACCCAGCCCCUCCUCCCGCCGCCCGUCCCAAGCCUGCCGCCCCUUCCCUUCCUUCCCGCCCGGGCCGGCCCCUCCUCUCUCCCUGCCCGCCGGCGUCUCGCUCCGACAACGGCGGCUUGUUUCGUUGGUAUACGAAAGGCCGUGCUCCCGUCCGAGCGGUACUGCGAAUGUGCGAGGGGACAGCGGUGCUGGGGCACCCCGGUGACAUUCGUCUGCGUAGAAAACUAACGUGGUUUCUUUCCUUCCCUCCGCCUCUCCGGCAGGACGGUGGUGCUCGUGUAUGGCUUUUUUCGUAGCUGAAGCGCUGCUGUUAAUUGAAACCGAGCCAAACCAAGAGUGUCUAUUUUCCCACCUUUGAUUUUUCUAUAACAGCGAGCACGUAAGUACUUCCUCCAUUUAAUAUGUGCCUACUUUCUUCGGUGUUCUCCUGUUUGCAGUUCUGCUUUCCUUCUAUUUCUCAUUCCUCAUCAGAUGAACGUGGAAGCAUUAUCACAAUGUGAAACUACUGCUGCUUCUUCCUUAAAGGUUGUCAGAAUCGCUGUGAGCGACGGUAGGCUGGGUAAACAAACAUGCUAUACGUAGGGGUUAUUGCCAGCUUACAGCUUGGAAAGUUCCAGACCAUCUUGGUAUUUCCCCAAAGGCUGCUUGCUUAUAAUUGGACCCAAAGUUGUACCCAACAUUUUUCACUACUGAAAUCCUCUGCAGUCAUUAGCAAAUGAGGCAGUAUUGCUGUAGCAAGCAACUUUCUGCCUUUGCUUUCAACAGCUGAUGGUUUGGGUUUGCUGAGAACAGAACAAUUAUUCCUUCACUUGGUGUCUUUUUUUUUUUUUCCAAGUGAGUUUCCAUUCUACUAAGCUUCCUUAAAUAACCUUCUUGUAACAUCCUUUGGAAAGUGGGAAUAAGUUGCAAAGCCCAUUAUUCUCAGUACUUCAUUUACUGUCUUGUCGAAUUAUUCCACCCGUUCCACAUCAUCAAGAAUUCCGACAGUUCGUGGAGAAAUUCUGCAUCAUUUCAGAAUGUUACCAUUUCAGCAUGUUCCUGGCAUAUCUUCAGUUAUUUUUCCAGUGCUGUACCCAGAGCUGCAAUCUAGUGCUGGUCUAUUAAAGUUUAUUUUCUAGGAUGUGGCUACUUGCUCUUCUCUGAUAGGAUAUUUCCAAAAUAUAUGUUGAGUGCAUACGUUAUAGAAUUGUUUGCAUUAGAGGGGAGCUUUAAAAGCCAUCUAGUUCAACUCCUCUAUGAAGAACAGGAACACCUAUAGCUACAUCAGGUUGCUCAGAGCCCCAUCCAGCCUGACCUUGAAUGUCUCCAGGGACAGGGCAUCCAGCAUAUCUCUGUGCAACCUGUUUGUAUUGAUGGAAUGAAUUUCCAUCACAGCCCAUGAUCCCUAGACUUCUUAGCUCAGUGAAAACUGCAGAAGACAACCAGAGCCAGAUGCUUCUGUUUCUAGCCGAUACUGCUCAAUGCAAACUAUCAUACACUUCAUCAUAAACCUAGUGCAGUGAGGUCAUUAAAUUAAAAAAAAAAACAAAAACUCACCUUCAUAAUGAAGGAUUGGUUUCAUUUCCUUGUCCCGAGUGAGCAUAGAGUUGACAACAGCCCUGUCUUAGUGCAGCACUCAGCCUGCAUCAGCAUUGAGACCUCAGUUUCCAAGCCACAAGUGAAGCAAGGGAGACUUGAAACAUGCUGUGUCUGCAAGCACUAGACAGGGAACUUACUAAAAACUCCCAGUGAGAUCUGAUCUACAGCAUUUUGCCUCCAGCUGGGUGAUACGACUUCCCAGGAGCACAGCUCCCACAUGUGCUAAAAGUCGCCCUGUGCCAGGAGUGGCUGCUUCACCUUAUCCUAAGGAUUGGCUGACAUCCCAUGCUCCUUUUGAAGUAUUUGAGUGACUGUGUAUUUCCCCACAGGUGGAGCAAUCUGCUCUUCACUGACAUUCCAUACUCAAAUUUAUACCAACCCAUGAAGUCAGAUAAAAAAUACUGAUAAUUGAUUAUAUGCAGCUUUUUUUAUCUAUCAAGAUAUUUUCUACUUUUUUUGUAUACUGGAAUCAUAGAAUGGCCUGGGUUGAAAAAGACCACAAUGAUCAUCUAGUUUCAACCCCCCUGCUAUGCGCAGGGUCGCCAACCACCAGACCAGGCUGCCCAGAGGAAUAAGAGGACGAUCCCAUUUCACCAUCUGAAUGUCUACACUCUCAUGUAUCAUGAGGCAUACUUAUCAGUAGUACAUUCUGGAAUGCCCCCAUGACUCCUUGCUUUCCAUUUUUGUGCAAUUUAAGUACUGCAAUGACUGUACUUGAUAAAAGGUUUCAGUGGAUCUUCAUAACCAGCUUCUCCUUUUACUGUAUCAUCCCUCUUAUUCUUGCACUAGUGAAUACAGACCUUCUGGCCUGGCUAAAGUUAUACAUAUCUACAUGUACCUGAUCAUUACCUGAUGUCCUACCCACUAGAAGGUAGUUGUGGCCUUUAUGAUGCUAAUGGCUAGAAUUAGAAUCUCAAACAGACCUUUCUUGGGUGGUAUUUAUUUAAACUCAGUAUUUAACCUGUCACCAUUAUCUUUACUGAUAUCUAUAACACCAAUGUGUUAUGUUCCUGACAGUUUCUGUUUCUUACAUCUGCAUCAGAUGAACACCAGAUAGUAAGACAGCACAAGCUUAACCCAAUUCCCUGCAGAUCAGAUAAAGACUUUUUUCAAAACUCUAUGCUUGCUAUGCAGAUACCCACAGAUGCCCAAAAGACUACUUCCUGAAUUCCAGCUGGUUUUGUUCUAUUUUGAAUUCCUUUCUUUCAGCUGCACAAUAUUUAUCCAAGCUCUAUGAAUGAAAACUAUCUGCAGAAGCCCAAAUUAUUUCCAUGUCAUUCCACGUGGAAGAAGAGGUCUUGCUUAGCUUAUGCGUUUCUAAGAUGCUUAUGUACUCCAGUUUUACACCUUUCCACCCACGUAUCUUAGUGAUUAAGCUUAAUAACACAUGCCUACCUCUCAGUUUAAUUUUUACCUGCUGAGUCCAUACACUGAUCUUUUUAUCCUCACAAAGGAGAUAAUACAACACAGGAACGUGCUAUGAUCUGUCAUGAUCCAACACAGAGAGGUUGUUAUGAAGCUAUCACGAACAAUGGCCAUAAGGAUACCCAGAACAGGACAACGUGCAAAACUACAAAGAAAGAAAAGUGAUAAUUGUCUCUAAAUUAGUUAAUAAAUAAACCUACAUCUGCA
Molecule: long non-coding RNA, 3302 nt
Filed under: Chrysolophus pictus (golden pheasant)
Lineage: Eukaryota; Metazoa; Chordata; Aves; Galliformes; Phasianidae
Description: lncRNA (ENSCPIG00010009492.1)
Source: RNAcentral